This 209-nucleotide ribosomal RNA is filed under the name uncultured bacterium. Its description in RNAcentral is "partial 16S ribosomal RNA". It matches the Rfam family "Bacterial small subunit ribosomal RNA", at positions 1290 to 1500 of the family's 1533-position model. The record is from RNAcentral.
AGUUCGGAUUGAAGGCUGAAAUUCGCCUUCAUGAAGCUGGAAUUGCUAGUAAUGGCAGGUCAGCAUACUGCCGUGAAUACGUUCCCGGGCCUUGUACACACCGCCCGUCACACCAUGAGAGUUGGGAAUACCCGAAGCCUGUGAGCUAACGUAAGAGGCAGCAGUCGAAGGUAGAAUCAAUGAUUGGGGUGAAGUCGUAACAAGGUAGC